Dipodomys spectabilis (banner-tailed kangaroo rat) is the source of this 104-nucleotide long non-coding RNA. RefSeq lists it as uncharacterized. The transcript has 3 exons. The record is from RefSeq and is a predicted model, not a curated record. NCBI's taxonomy places the organism in Eukaryota, Metazoa, Chordata, Mammalia, Rodentia, Heteromyidae.
UUAAUUAGGAUUUCUGCUUUUUUGUCUGCUGUAAGGAGAGGCCUUGGUAUUUUGCUCAAAACUGUCAACUGUUUGGAGGAGGAUCCUAAGGAAGACAAUGAAGC